RNAcentral lists this long non-coding RNA (563 nucleotides) under Chinchilla lanigera (long-tailed chinchilla). Its description in RNAcentral is "lncRNA (ENSCLAG00000025629.1)". The record is from RNAcentral. Lineage: Eukaryota; Metazoa; Chordata; Mammalia; Rodentia; Chinchillidae.
GAUGCACUGGUUUUUUUAUGGCACCAUGUGCUCAUCCUAUGAUUCUUUUUAGGAGUUCUUCAUUGGGAAAGUUCCAAACCCAUCAGUACAUAAUUAUUUUAUGUAUUAUGUAACCACGGCAAUUUAGCAGUACAUAGUUCCUCAGGGCUGGGAAGACAGGGUGCUUCUGUAGAACAAAGAAGUCUCAAGAGCACUUGACAGGUCUGGAUUCUCAUGUUUCCCUAAAAACAUCUGAAUGUUCUAAUGUUUAGAAUUCUGCUCUUUCACAGUCUUUCAUCUACCAAACCUGGCAAGACUUGCCCGACGGGGCAAUAAAUUACACAGCUCCCCUUGGUCCCGGCACUGCAGCCACUCACUGCCUUGUGGAGCCUCCCUGUGGACCCUCACCUCUGCUGACUCCUGCACUCCGCUGGCCGGAGUCCCUGAGGCCUGCCAGUGUCUCCAGUCUCUGCAUCUCAGCCACACCCACUCCUAUGCCCCUGGGGUGACAGGUAAGGGUCAUGCAGGUGGAGAAGCGGGUAGAUGUUAAGGGUAGAUUCCCUGAAGCAGGGCCAACAGCACAG